CUUGCUUCUCUUGAGAGCGGCGGACGGGUGAGUAAUGCCUAGGAAUCUGCCUGGUAGUGGGGGAUAACGUUCGGAAACGGACGCUAAUACCGCAUACGUCCUACGGGAGAAAGCAGGGGACCUUCGGGCCUUGCGCUAUCAGAUGAGCCUAGGUCGGAUUAGCUAGUUGGUGGGGUAAUGGCUCACCAAGGCGACGAUCCGUAACUGGUCUGAGAGGAUGAUCAGUCACACUGGAACUGAGACACGGUCCAGACUCCUACGGGAGGCAGCAGUGGGGAAUAUUGGACAAUGGGCGAAAGCCUGAUCCAGCCAUGCCGCGUGUGUGAAGAAGGUCUUCGGAUUGUAAAGCACUUUAAGUUGGGAGGAAGGGUUGUAGAUUAAUACUCUGCAAUUUUGACGUUACCGACAGAAUAAGCACCGGCUAACUCUGUGCCAGCAGCCGCGGUAAUACAGAGGGUGCAAGCGUUAAUCGGAAUUACUGGGCGUAAAGCGCGCGUAGGUGGUUUGUUAAGUUGGAUGUGAAAUCCCCGGGCUCAACCUGGGAAUUGCAUUCAAAACUGACUGACUAGAGUAUGGUAGAGGGUGGUGGAAUUUCCUGUGUAGCGGUGAAAUGCGUAUAUAUAGGAAGGAACACCAGUGGCGAAGGCGACCACCUGGACUAAUACUGACACUGAGGUGCGAAAGCGUGGGAGCAACAGGAUUA
This 703-nucleotide ribosomal RNA is filed under the name uncultured bacterium. Its description in RNAcentral is "bacterial SSU rRNA". It matches the Rfam family "Bacterial small subunit ribosomal RNA", at positions 79 to 780 of the family's 1533-position model. The record is from RNAcentral.